GUGUCAGCAGCCGCGGUAAAACGUAGGAGGCGAGCGUUAUCCGGAUUUACUGGGCGUAAAGCGCGCGCAGGCGGGUCAGUGAGUCGGACGUGAAAGCUCCUGGCUUAACUGGGAGAGGCCGUUCGAUACUGCUGGGCUUGAGGUUGGGAGAGGGGUGCGGAAUUCCCGGUGUAGUGGUGGAAUGCGUAGAUAUCGGGAGGAACACCUGUGGCGAAAGCGGCACCCUGGCCCACACCUGACGCUGAGGUGCGAAAGCGUGGGUAGCAAACAGGAUUAGAUACCCUCGUAGUCC
This 292-nucleotide ribosomal RNA is filed under the name uncultured bacterium. RNAcentral's name for it is "partial 16S ribosomal RNA". It matches the Rfam family "Bacterial small subunit ribosomal RNA", at positions 505 to 796 of the family's 1533-position model. The record is from RNAcentral.